Molecule: ribosomal RNA, 435 nt
Filed under: uncultured bacterium
Lineage: Bacteria
Description: bacterial SSU rRNA
Rfam family: Bacterial small subunit ribosomal RNA
Source: RNAcentral
GAUGAACGCUAGCUACAGGCUUAACACAUGCAAGUCGAGGGGAAACGAUAUUGGAAGCUUGCUUCCGAUAGGCGUCGACCGGCGCACGGGUGAGUAACGCGUAUCCAACCUGCCCCAUCACUUGGGGAUAACCUUGCGAAAGUAAGACUAAUACCCAAUGAUAUCUCUAGAAGACAUCUGAAAGAGAUUAAAGAUUUAUCGGUGAUGGAUGGGGAUGCGUCUGAUUAGCUUGUUUGGCGGGGUAACGGCCCACCAAGGCGACGAUCAGUAGGGUUCUGAGAGGAAGGUCCCCCACAUUUGGAACUGAGACACGGUCCAAACUCCUACGGGAGGCAGCAGUGAGGAAUAUUGGUCAAUGGGCGAGAGCCUGAACCAGCCAAGUAGCGUGCAGGAUGACGGCCCUAUGGUUGUAACUGCUUUAUAAGGGAAUAAAGU